Molecule: transfer RNA, 74 nt
Filed under: Rhodospirillaceae bacterium
Lineage: Bacteria; Pseudomonadati; Pseudomonadota; Alphaproteobacteria; Rhodospirillales; Rhodospirillaceae
Also listed under: 3 other names
Description: tRNA-Gln
Rfam family: tRNA
About the family: Transfer RNA (tRNA) molecules are approximately 80 nucleotides in length. Their secondary structure includes four short double-helical elements and three loops (D, anti-codon, and T loops). Further hydrogen bonds mediate the characteristic L-shaped molecular structure. tRNAs have two regions of fundamental functional importance: the anti-codon, which is responsible for specific mRNA codon recognition, and the 3' end, to which the tRNAs corresponding amino acid is attached (by aminoacyl-tRNA synthetases). tRNAs cope with the degeneracy of the genetic code in two manners: having more than one tRNA (with a specific anti-codon) for a particular amino acid; and 'wobble' base-pairing, i.e. permitting non-standard base-pairing at the 3rd anti-codon position.
Source: RNAcentral
UGGGGGAUAGUCUAACGGUAGGACAGCGGACUCUGACUCCGUAGGUCCAGGUUCGAAUCCUGGUCCCCCAGCCA